This 567-nucleotide non-coding RNA is filed under the name Myotis lucifugus (little brown bat). RNAcentral's name for it is "Eukaryotic large subunit ribosomal RNA". It matches the Rfam family "Eukaryotic large subunit ribosomal RNA", at positions 955 to 1444 of the family's 3401-position model. Lineage: Eukaryota; Metazoa; Chordata; Mammalia; Chiroptera; Vespertilionidae. The record is from Rfam by way of RNAcentral.
UUCCCUCCGCAGUUUCCCUCGGGAUAGCUGGCGCUCUCGCAGACGCACAAAAGACGCACUUUUAUCCAUCCGGUAAAGCGAAUCAUUAGAGAUCUUGGGGCUGAAACGAUCUCAACCUAGUCUCAAACUUUCUUUCAAUGGGUAAGAAGCCUGGCUCACUGGCGUGGAGUCGGGCAUGCAAUUCGAGUGCCUAGCGGGCCACUUUUGGUAAGCAGAACUGGCGCUGCGGGAUGAACCGAACGCCUGGUUAAGGCGCCCAAUGCUGACACUCAUCAGACCCCAGGAAAGGUGUUGUUUGAUAGCGACAGCAGCACGGUGGCCAUGGUACUCAGAAUCCACUAAGGAGUGUGUAACAACUCAACUGCCGAAUCAACUAGCCCUGAAAAUGGAUCACGCAGGUGCGACGGGCCCAUAACCGGCUGUAACUGGCGGUUGGUCAGAGCCAAAGGGAUGGCAUCCACACACCCAUGUAUGCUAUACCACGAACAGUACGAGUGGGAGGGCCACUGCAGUGAGCCUUGAAGCCUAGAGCGUGGGCCCGGGGCCCAUGUGGAGCCACCACAGGUG